GAGCGAAAGCGACGUUCAACCGCAAAAGAAGCAGAGGGGGCUUAGUGGUGGGGUGACUGCGUACCUUUUGUAUAAUGGGUCAGCGACUUAUAUUCUGUAGCAAGGUUAACCGUAUAGGGGAGCCGCAGGGAAACCGAGUCUUAACCGGGCGUUAAGUUGCAGGGUAUAGACCCGAAACCCGGUGAUCUAGCCAUGGGCAGGUUGAAGGUUGGGUAACACUAACUGGAGGACCGAACCGACUAAUGUUGAAAAAUUAGCGGAUGACCUGUGGCUGGGGGUGAAAGGCCAAUCAAACCGGGAGAUAGCUGGUUCUCCCCGAAAGCUAUUUAGGUAGCGCCUCGUGAAUUCAUCUCCGGGGGUAGAGCACUGUUUCGGCUAGGGGGCCAUCCCGGCUUACCAACCCGAUGCAAACUGCGAAUACCGGAGAAUGUUAUCACGGGAGACACACGGCGGGUGCUAACGUCCGUCGUGAAGAGGGAAACAACCCAGACCGCCAGCUAAGGUCCCAAAGUCAUGGUUAAGUGGGAAACGAUGUGGGAAGGCCCAGACAGCCAGGAUGUUGGCUUAGAAGCAGCCAUCAUUUAAAGAAAGCGUAAUAGCUCACUGGUCGAGUCGGCCUGCGCGGAAGAUGUAACGGGGCUAAACCAUG
RNAcentral lists this ribosomal RNA (649 nucleotides) under Salmonella enterica subsp. enterica serovar Waycross. RNAcentral describes it as "partial 23S ribosomal RNA". It matches the Rfam family "Bacterial large subunit ribosomal RNA", at positions 536 to 1191 of the family's 2925-position model. The record is from RNAcentral. Lineage: Bacteria; Pseudomonadati; Pseudomonadota; Gammaproteobacteria; Enterobacterales; Enterobacteriaceae.